This 760-nucleotide long non-coding RNA is filed under the name Carassius auratus (goldfish). RNAcentral's name for it is "lncRNA (ENSCARG00000011607.1)". Lineage: Eukaryota; Metazoa; Chordata; Actinopteri; Cypriniformes; Cyprinidae. The record is from RNAcentral.
UGACAGACACGGUGUUGGAUCGCUGCCUCCAGGCGCUGGCGGGGAUUGUGAUUAGUCCUUGCUGCUACGGGUUCAUUCAAAACACACUCAAGUUCAACUUUCCCAAGAGGAGUAUACGAUCCUGUGCAGGUUCACAGACCAGACGGCUGUCAGUUUACUCUGCAGAACGACAAUUAAUUGUUGGUGAGAUGACAGCCUUUCAGCCUCUUCACAAAACACAUGCUAACCAGCACCGAUUCCUCUGCCAUGUCAGUCAAAGCCAAGACUUUGCAAAAGCUUUCAAAGACAGAUAUCUUUGCGUUGAGAUGAGCUGUUAAUUACAGUUUGAUAAGAUGGUAAAGUUUGUUUUAAAGUCGUUAGUGCGUUUUCAAAAGGCACUGCUUAAAGUUUCACUGUUUUAUCCCCUGAGAUAACAGUCUCUUUAAAGAAAUGUCUUUUAUUAAAGUCAUUUGAAAUUCCACUUUUAAAAAAGUUUCAAAUUAAUUUAUUAAAUGAGAUCUUUCUUUUCAUCAAAUAAUCCUGAAAAAAAAAAUGUAUCAUGGUUUCAAAAUUAGAAGCACAACUGUUUUUAACAUUGAUAAUUCUGAAGGAUUUGACAUUGAAUAAACUUUUUAAAUAAAUAUAUAAAAUAGAAAUCAAUGUUAUUUUUAAUUGUAAAAAUAACUCCUAUUUUUACUGCAUUUUUUUUUUUUAUCAAAUAAAGGCAGCCUUGGUAAACAUUUGAAAUCCUUUAAAAAAAAAUAUUACCAGUCAGAAUUUA